CAGUAGCCGCGGGAACACGAAGGGUGCAAGCGUUACUCGGAAUUACUGGGCGUAAAGCGUGCGUAGGUGGUGGUUUAAGUCCGUUGUGAAAGCCCUGGGCUCAACCUGGGAAUUGCAGUGGAUACUGGGUCACUAGAGUGUGGUAGAGGAUAGUGGAAUUUCCGGUGUAGCAGUGAAAUGCGUAGAGAUCGGAAGGAACAUCUGUGGCGAAGGCGACUAUCUGGGCCAACACUGACACUGAGGCACGAAAGCGUGGGGAGCAAACAGGAUUAGAUACCCGUGUAGUCCCUGUCUCUUAUAC
Molecule: ribosomal RNA, 301 nt
Filed under: uncultured bacterium
Lineage: Bacteria
Description: partial 16S ribosomal RNA
Rfam family: Bacterial small subunit ribosomal RNA
Source: RNAcentral